CGAGAGACGUAAGGUCUCGGCGGACCGCUCAGUAACACGUGGAUAACAUGCCCUAAGGUGGGGGAUAAUCUCGGGAAACUGAGGAUAAUACCCCAUAGGUCUGAUCUGCUGAAUGCUUUCAGGCCGAAAACUCCGGUGCCUUAGGAUUGGUCUGCGGUCUAUCAGGCAGUAGUGGGUGUAACGGACCCACUAGCCCGUGACGGAUAUGGGCCUUGAGAGAGGGAGCCCAGAGAUGGACUCUGAGACAUGAGUCCAGGCCCUACGGGGCGCAGCAGUCGCGAAAACUUCGCAAUGGGGGCAACCCCGACGAGGGAAUUCCAAGUGCCAGCACUUUGUGUUGGCUGUUCUCCUGUCUAAAAAACAGGAGGAGUAAGGGGCGGGUAAGACGGGUGCCAGCCGCCGCGGUAAUACCCGCGCCCCUAGUGGUGGUCGAUAUUAUUGAGCCUAAAACGUCCGUAGCCGGUCUUUUAAAUCCUUGGGUAAAUCGGGCAGCUUAACUGUCCGAAGUCCGGGGAGACUGGAAGACUUGGGACCGGGAGAGGUCAGAGGUACUUUUGGGGUAGGGGUAAAAUCCUGUAAUCCUGGAAGGACCACCGGUGGCGAAGGCGUCUGACUAGAACGGAUCCGACGGUGAGGGACGAAGCCCUGGGGCGCAAACGGGAUUAGAUACCCCGGUAGUCCAGGGUGUAAACGCUGCGGGCUUGGUGUUGGGGGUCCUUAGUNNNNNAGUUGUUAAGCCUGCUGCUUNNNGAGUAUGUCCGCAAGGAUGAAACU
RNAcentral lists this ribosomal RNA (774 nucleotides) under uncultured archaeon. RNAcentral's name for it is "bacterial SSU rRNA". It matches the Rfam family "Archaeal small subunit ribosomal RNA", at positions 59 to 856 of the family's 1478-position model. The record is from RNAcentral.